This is a long non-coding RNA of Calidris pugnax (ruff), 193 nucleotides long. RefSeq lists it as uncharacterized. Lineage: Eukaryota; Metazoa; Chordata; Aves; Charadriiformes; Scolopacidae. The transcript has 3 exons. The record is from RefSeq and is a predicted model, not a curated record.
GUGUUGUAUUGCUGGUGGAGUAUGUGCAGGUGCCACACAACGGUUCGGAGGGGCGAUGCCACACACUGAGGAGCGGCACUGUGGGGGCUCCCUUUGAAAUGGGAUGAGAGUUUGAGGCACCGCAAGGAGUGACUGCCGAUGAGUCCAACUCUGGAAUCCAUGCGGAGCAGGAGAGGAGAAUGACACGGCGCAG